RNAcentral lists this long non-coding RNA (440 nucleotides) under Citrus sinensis (sweet orange). RNAcentral's name for it is "long non-coding RNA (CSIN_LNC005813)". Lineage: Eukaryota; Viridiplantae; Streptophyta; Magnoliopsida; Sapindales; Rutaceae. The record is from RNAcentral.
GAAAGGCUAUCUAUGCAGGUCUCUCGCUUGAUCGAAAUGCAGACACCUUUAUACCUUGAAGGAGUUCAUUCUCUUCAUCCUUAUUUCCGGAACAGCACCAAGAAUAUGUAGAUUAUCUAACUUGUUGAGAGAAACAAAACCAUUUGAUCUACAGGGUUUCUUUCAACAUUGGGUAUAUAAGAAUGCAUAUUCUUUUUCUAUCAUCUUCUAUUCAUUAGAUUAUGUUGAGAUUAAAAUAAAUCAAUUUUACAUUCUUAAUGGGUAUCUAUGCUGAAAUUGUCUUUGUGAGAUCUGAUAACACGAAUAAAAAUGCAUUGAUUCAUUUCUCACCAACAUGACUAUAUUGCCUUAUGAAGCAUCUCUCCACUUUAGUUUUGUUUAUACUGGCUCUAGAUUAAACUAUGCAUAUUCUUGGAAGAUCAUGUGUGCAAGUGACAAAC